UACGGAGGAACCGAGCGUUAUCCGGAUUUAUUGAGUUUAAAGGGUGCGUAGGCGGACUGGUAAGUCAGCUGUGAAAGUUUACGGCUUAACCGUGAGAUUGCAGUUGAUACUGUUGGUCUUGAGGAUACAUGAGGUGCGCGGAAUUUGUGGUGUAGAGGUGAAAUGCUUAGAUAUCACGAAGAACUCCAGUUGCGAAAGCAGCUCACUGGUCUAUAACUGACGCUGAUGCACGAAUGUGUGGGUAUCAAACAGG
RNAcentral lists this ribosomal RNA (253 nucleotides) under uncultured bacterium. Its description in RNAcentral is "partial 16S ribosomal RNA". It matches the Rfam family "Bacterial small subunit ribosomal RNA", at positions 524 to 776 of the family's 1533-position model. The record is from RNAcentral.